Molecule: long non-coding RNA, 392 nt
Filed under: Gallus gallus (chicken)
Lineage: Eukaryota; Metazoa; Chordata; Aves; Galliformes; Phasianidae
Description: lncRNA (ENSGALG00010021403.1)
Source: RNAcentral
CCUGAAGAUGCUUUGGAACCUAACAGAGUUUGAGGCUGAGACAUUGAUUGAAGAUGACCAGAAAUAGCAUUGGGAAUGACCCCUUAGAAAUUCCUUCAGUUGGAAAAUGAAACUCCCAAAUUUAACACAUUUCAGUUCUAAAAAUGUUUUUCUUUUUCUUUUUUUUAAAUAUUCCAGAUUGAGAUCACAGGAAAACAGGCUUUCUACCAGAUUCUGAUGGCUACCACAGAAGUGAUAUAAGGGUCUGCCACUAUAGAUUUUCUUCACUCUUAGGAAUAAGCAGUUCUUCAGACUCAAGUGCCUGAACUUUCUGGCUGUCUGAACACAGUACUGCUUCCUUCUACACAUCAAGCUGUGCUGCAUAACUCGCAUCACUCACCUGCAUAGCACUG